This 253-nucleotide ribosomal RNA is filed under the name uncultured prokaryote. RNAcentral's name for it is "partial 16S ribosomal RNA". It matches the Rfam family "Bacterial small subunit ribosomal RNA", at positions 524 to 776 of the family's 1533-position model. The record is from RNAcentral.
UACGGAGGGUGCAAGCGUUAUCCGGAUUCACUGGGUUUAAAGGGUGCGUAGGUGGUUUGAUAAGGGUGUGGUGAAAGCCCGGAGCUCAACUCCGGGUCUGCCGUGCCGACUGUCAAACUCGAGGGCUGUAGAGGCAGACGGAAUUCCGGGUGUAGCGGUGGAAUGCGUAGAGAUCCGGAGGAAGACCGGUGGCGAAGGCGGUCUGCUGGGCAGUUUCUGACACUGAGGCGCGACAGCGUGGGGAGCAAACAGG